CAAAAAAUAGUGCUGACAAAGCUGGUGACUCUCACUGAUGAGGUCAAACAACUCCAGAGGAGCAUGCCUAAAUCUAGCAUUGAGAUCAUAAAGAUUAACACCUUGGAAGAGUUCGAGAGGGAGGAGGCUUCUCUUCUGAUAAAAACAAAUUUGAAACCUUGGUUUGUCAGCUGGCAAGAGUGGGUGGGAAAGAUGUAAAGGACUGCACGCACAAAGUGAUGGACAGGCUCUUCACCAACAACCUAAUGACACUGUUUAAUUUGAAAGGGAAGGG
Molecule: long non-coding RNA, 274 nt
Organism: Perca fluviatilis (European perch)
Lineage: Eukaryota; Metazoa; Chordata; Actinopteri; Perciformes; Percidae
Exons: 3
Source: RefSeq, a predicted model, not a curated record